UGAUAGUGGGCUCUAGUUACCUUUAUUCUGAAAUGGGUUUUCUUCCCCUAUAAAAGUCAUUAGGUCCUUCAUCUGAAUCUAAACUCAAACUGAACUUCCCAACUUUAUUUUUCUGAGGAUCAGACUUCUUUAACCGAAGAACUCAGGAGUCACGAUUGAACUGCUCUGGUAACAUCUUCACUCCCAGUUUCUAUUUUCAAAUGUUUUUCUUUUGUCUGAUAGUGUAGUUCAGUGUUUCAAAAUGAUAAUUAUUUUAAGAAAGGGUAAAGUAUAAGAUUGUAUAACUCAUCAGUUGAUCAUCACUUUUGUUGUGUCUGGUAUUCAACUUAUGUAACUUAAUCAUAAUCUGAUUGUAAUCAGUAUAAGAAAAUGAUUUAAUCUCCAAUUAAGAAGCAUAGCCACAAUGAUAUGUUGCCCUUUUCUUUUAAUUAUACGUUUUUUACAGCAUUGUUUAGUAUCAAUCCAAACAAAAGAACAACUGAAAAUGAAACCUGAAUAUGCUGAACGAAUGGCCUUGGAUAGAAUCAGCACACUUCCGCAACCCAUAUUAGAAACCGUCCUUUCUCUUUUAUCAACUGAAGAGGCAGCAAGGACUAGUAUUCUCUCUAAGGAAUGGAGGUACAGGUGGACCACAAUUCCUAACCUAGAGUUUACUUUGCGUAAAAGAUUUUCCGAGCUAACAUCUGACGAAGAAAGUGAAAUGAAAUACAUGGACCUGCAUGAUCUACACCAAGUUUUGUUGCUGCGCCAGGGCCCAAUUCACGAGCUCACCCUUUCUAUGGAGGGUUACUGGGAAGACGACGACCUUUUUGAAUUUGAGCAGAUAAUACUUCAUUUGUCGAGGAACCAUAUUGUUAGGAAACUAGAACUUGAUGCAUCGGAGUUGGAGAGCCAUGGGUAUAAAUUACCCAUAUCUGUUUUCGCAUUGCAUCACUUAAAGGAGCUCGAUCUUUUUAGUUUUACUAUUGAGCUUCCAUCAAUAUUCAAUGGCUUUGGUAGCCUUGUAAAGUUAAACCUGACUGAUGUAAAGCUCUCUUCAAAAACUCUUCGACGUCUUUUAUCAAAUUGUCCAUCACUUGAGAGCUUGCAUGUGGAUAUAGAUGAAUCAGAUGAUGAAUGCACUAUUAACGAGCUACUCAAGUGCUUACCUGUGAUUGAAGAACUGUCUAUUUCUAGUGAUGUUUGUGAGUCUAUGGUUCUAGUGGCUGGUUCUAGACUCGGAUCCGCAAGAGCUUCCAAUCUCACUAGUCCACCUCAAAGUCUUACAUUUGGAAGGAAUGUCUUUUACUGAGGACUCCAAAUCAGCUUUCCUUCUUGUUUUGAUCAAAUGUUCCCCCAACUUGGAGAGAAUUUGCCUAAAUAUGGCGUGGAGAUCUAAGGGUGAUGAGGAAUACCCUGCUGUAAAGAAUGAAUAUUCAAAUGUUUGGUUGGAGCAUCUGAAAGAAUUAGAAAUUAGUUUUUGGAGCCGCUCGCAUGGGAUGGAACUUUUAAUGGAAUUUGGAAAGUUUAUCUUGGUUAGGUCACCUAAGCUAAAGAAGGUGAGCAUAUUCGGUUUGGAUGAUAAGUGUCGAGAGUCAAUGAUCGUAAAUACGCUCUUAGGGGCGCCACGCGCGUCUCCGGCAGUAAAUUUUAAAAUCAAUUAUCCUGUUCCUUGGAGCUAUCCUUCAACCCGAACAACUCCCGUUUAGCACGAUAUCUCUAACUUCACCGUAUUACGUGUUUUACCUGUAAAAUCAUAAAAACUCAAAUGGAGAUUGAGCAUGGACCGUUGCCGGGGAGUCGUGCGCUUAGUUUAGUUUUGUUUUGUUUUGUUUGCUUGCUUUCAUUUUUAGUGUGAGUGAGAAUUGCUUCAAACCUUUAUUGUUUGUAUGUUGAGAUUUGUGACUUGUUAUUAGUUAUCUAGUAUUGUGGUCAUUUCCGGAUCAA
RNA transcript from Helianthus annuus (common sunflower), 1926 nucleotides. It is a transcript of the gene named F-box/FBD/LRR-repeat protein At1g13570-like, with no coding region annotated. The transcript is spliced from 4 exons. The record is from RefSeq and is a predicted model, not a curated record. Lineage: Eukaryota; Viridiplantae; Streptophyta; Magnoliopsida; Asterales; Asteraceae.